Molecule: ribosomal RNA, 190 nt
Filed under: uncultured Flavobacterium sp.
Lineage: Bacteria; Pseudomonadati; Bacteroidota; Flavobacteriia; Flavobacteriales; Flavobacteriaceae
Description: partial 16S ribosomal RNA
Rfam family: Bacterial small subunit ribosomal RNA
Source: RNAcentral
CCUACGGGAGGCAGCAGUGAGGAAUAUUGGACAAUGGAGGCAACUCUGAUCCAGCCAUGCCGCGUGCAGGAAGACUGCCCUAUGGGUUGUAAACUGCUUUUAUAUAGGAAGAAACCUUGGUACGUGUACCAAGCUGACGGUACUAUAAGAAUAAGGAUCGGCUAACUCCGUGCCAGCAGCCGCGGUAAUA